This 390-nucleotide long non-coding RNA is filed under the name Salmo salar (Atlantic salmon). RNAcentral's name for it is "lncRNA (ENSSSAG00000119149.1)". Lineage: Eukaryota; Metazoa; Chordata; Actinopteri; Salmoniformes; Salmonidae. The record is from RNAcentral.
AGGGAGAAUGAGAGAGGGAGGGAGAAUGAGAGAGGGAUGGGAAGAGGGCGGGAGAAGGAGAGAGGGAGGGAGAGAGAGGUUGAGGUAGAGAGAGAAUCUCCAUGUCCCAGCAACACCAAUGGAGACUCUGAUGUAGAAGCUCUACUGGCCAGACUGAGGGCCUUGUAAGAGAUCUAUUUCCAGACACAGAUAACCCAGUCGCACCCAAACACCUCCACACCUGGCUGCCCCCCCCACCCCCAUAUCUGCAGCGACAGGACAGCCCAGAACAGGACAGCCCAGGACAGGACAGCCCAGGACAGGACAGCCCAGGACAGGACAGCCCAGGACAGGACAGCCCAGGACAGGACAGCCCAGGACAGGACAGCCCAGGACAGGACAGCCCAGAAC